RNAcentral lists this unclassified non-coding RNA (292 nucleotides) under Streptomyces griseus. Its description in RNAcentral is "partial 16S-23S intergenic spacer region". The record is from RNAcentral. Lineage: Bacteria; Bacillati; Actinomycetota; Actinomycetes; Kitasatosporales; Streptomycetaceae.
AAGGAGCAUCUAGAUUCCGCAAGGAAUCCAGAGCCACUACGUCGGCAAAUGUUCGACGGUGGUCAGCUCAUGGGUGGAACGUUGACUAUUCGGCACGACAGGUUGAUUACUGCUAGUACUGCUUCGGCGUGGAACGUGGUGAGAGAUCGGUUGUGUCGGGCACGUUGUUGGGUGUCUGAGGGUACGGCCGAGAGGCUGCCUUCUGAUCCGGUCCCAGUGAACUCGCCUGUUUGGGCGGGGUGAUGGGUGGCUGGUCGUUGUUUGAGAACUGCACAGUGGACGCGAGCAUCUG